CGGCCCGUGACUCAGUUCCACUUCCACCUAUGUUCCCCCUCGUUUGGUUAUCCGGAGGAGCAUGCUAGGCGGCAGGGGAGGCGCAUUCAUUGGAGGUUAAUCAUGGAGAUGGCACGGAUCUGAGCGGAGGAGUGAGUUGCUGGUCUAGAGGCGGAGGGGAAUCUCCGGCAGGUCUGGGCCUACGGCACCGGCACGAGCACUGCCGGCGGUGCUAUCCCGCGCGGGGUACCCGGGAGCGCAUCGCCGCUGGUUAUCUCCUGCGCCGGCGGUGUUGUGCGGAUCCACCAAGGUCAUAACAAGCAUAUGGAGAAGGAAGGGAGCUGAGUAGCUGCAUCGGUUGCUGGAUUGGGAAGAGGAGGGGAAACAUCAGAUUCCGGCGGAGCGGCAGGCGGACAUAGAAGUGCACCGCCAACGAGGAGAUCAGCAGCCGGUGGGUGUUCUCUGGAGCCAUCAGGUAAAUCUAUGUUUCAUUAACUUUGGGGGCGAACCCUAUAUUGCAGUUUGGGGAUUUUUAAGUUGCAGGUGCCACUGCCACCGCCGGCUAGAUUUGUAUUGUCUGGCGCAGAUCCUGGAGUUGACUAGCCCUUAUGUAUCUUCUAUGUAGCCAGAGUUCAAGUGCAUCUUGCAGCGGCAUCAUGCAGGAUUCAGGCACACCAUGGCAUUUCCUGUCGAAAUACUGACAGUCUGAAUUCGACAAUAUGUAAAGCUCAUCAAUUCAUAAGGGCUAUUAACAGACUAAGGUGUGCCUAAAUGUAUCAUUGCUUUAGCCUGAUUUUUUUUUUUUUUGGUAUACAUGCACACUGCCCAAAAUGCGUUGAAUUUAGGCUGAAUGGAUUUAGUGCCAGAUGGAGCACAAUAGAUGUUGUGUUUUGCCUCUAGGUAUUUUUUUUUAUCUUUCCAUUCAUUUGGGUUUCAUAAACCAGCUGGGUCAUGACUUCCGAUGUUCAGUACAAAAGGUUCAUUUAGUGAUAUCGCAGUUUGACCAGCGCCGGCGGUGAGCAGAUGCAAGUGAACUUUGCGAAGAAGGUGAUCUGACUUGACCGCGCCAUUGCUAUAUUCGACUCUGGAUACAAAUCUUGUACAGCUUGACGGGAGGCAGAGAGCAGACCAGAGUCAGUCCAACCUGGAUAAUCAUGCAGGUACGUAUUCUUGCCCCAGUAUCAGUCGCAGUGUACAUGGGCUUGGUUGUGAAAGCUCUUGGCGCCGAUGACUAGACUUUGCAGAUUGCAUCUCUGAUGUGCAAAGUACAACCAUGUACUCCUUGGAUGCAAGAUACUACAACAUUGGUUGUUUUUGUUCAGUGGAGAGUGCGACACGAUUGAUGAUGUGUGUAGCACGAUUGCGACAAUACCUCCAUGUCCAUCUAUUCUAAUGUUUAUGGAAAUUAUACUGAUUUGAA
Molecule: long non-coding RNA, 1399 nt
Organism: Triticum dicoccoides
Lineage: Eukaryota; Viridiplantae; Streptophyta; Magnoliopsida; Poales; Poaceae
Exons: 3
Source: RefSeq, a predicted model, not a curated record